This is a non-coding RNA of Equus quagga, 403 nucleotides long. The record is from the annotation of a RefSeq genome assembly. NCBI's taxonomy places the organism in Eukaryota, Metazoa, Chordata, Mammalia, Perissodactyla, Equidae.
ACUGUUCCCCUUUCAUCAGCACAGGGACUCAGAAGACCCCUCCGUCUGCCCUGCUCCUGCCAUGAGUGGUGGCCUCCUGUGCUGGGUGGCUUUUUGCCUGUUGCAGGCAGGAGCAGUGAAUGCUGGUGUCACUCAGACCCCAAAAUUCCGCGUCCUGGAGACAGGACAGAACACAACGCUGAGAUGUGCCCAGGAUAUGAACCACGACUCUAUGUACUGGUAUCGACAAGACCUGGGACAUGGGCUGAGGCUGAUCCGCUACUCAGCUGGUGCUGGUGUCACUGAAAAGAGAGAUGUUCCCGAUGGGUACAGUGUCUCCAGAUCAAAUACAGAGAACUUCCCCCUCACACUGGAGUCUGCUACGCCCUCCCAGACAUCUGUGUACUUCUGUGCCAGCAGUUAG